RNAcentral lists this ribosomal RNA (496 nucleotides) under uncultured bacterium. Its description in RNAcentral is "partial 16S ribosomal RNA". It matches the Rfam family "Bacterial small subunit ribosomal RNA", at positions 28 to 507 of the family's 1533-position model. The record is from RNAcentral.
GAUGAACGCUGGCGGCGUGCCUAAUACAUGCAAGUCGAGCGAACAGAUGAGGAGCUUGCUCCUCUGACGUUAGCGGCGGACGGGUGAGUAACACGUGGAUAACCUACCUAUAAGACUGGGAUAACUUCGGGAAACCGGAGCUAAUACCGGAUAAUAUAUUGAACCGCAUGGUUCAAUAGUGAAAGACGGUUUUGCUGUCACUUAUAGAUGGAUCCGCGCCGCAUUAGCUAGUUGGUAAGGUAACGGCUUACCAAGGCAACGAUGCGUAGCCGACCUGAGAGGUGAUCGGCCACACUGGAACUGAGACACGGUCCAGACUCCUACGGGAGGCAGCAGUAGGGAAUCUUCCGCAAUGGGCGAAAGCCUGACGGAGCAACGCCGCGUGAGUGAUGAAGGUCUUCGGAUCGUAAAACUCUGUUAUUAGGGAAGAACAAAUGUGUAAGUAACUAUGCACGUCUUGACGGUACCUAAUCAGAAAGCCACGGCUAACUACGUG